This 777-nucleotide ribosomal RNA is filed under the name uncultured Neocallimastigales. Its description in RNAcentral is "partial large subunit ribosomal RNA". It matches the Rfam family "Eukaryotic large subunit ribosomal RNA", at positions 24 to 619 of the family's 3401-position model. The record is from RNAcentral. Lineage: Eukaryota; Fungi; Neocallimastigomycota; Neocallimastigomycetes; Neocallimastigales.
UACGACUACAUAUCAGGCAUAUCAAUAAGCGGAGGAAAAGAAACUAACAAGGAUUCCCUUAGUAACGGCGAGUGAAGCGGGAAGAGCUCAAAUUUGAAAUCUUCAAGGUUUUACCUUGACGAAUUGUAGUUUAAAGAAGUGUUUUCUGUUGAAGUUUUGGUAAAAGUUCUUUGGAAUAGGACAUCAUAGAGGGUGAGAAUCCCGUAUUUGACCAUUAUCUUCAGCUGUGUGAUACACUUUCAAAGAGUCGGAUUGUUUGGGAAUGCAGUCCAAAAUGGGAUGGUAAAUUUCAUCUAAAGCUAAAUAUUGGCGAGAGACCGAUAGCGAACAAGUACCGUGAGGGAAAGAUGAAAAGAACUUUGAAAAGAGAGUUAAACAGUACGUGAAAUUGUCAAAAGGGAAGCGUUUGACACCAGUGUUGUUUUCUCGAAAAUCAAUUAAGAAAAGUUGGAUUUUGUGUUGUAUUGACCUUAACAGCUUGCUUCACUCUUUUCCAGCUUUUUUUAAUGCACUUUUCGUUUAACAAGUCAACAUCAGUUUCUUUUGUUGUAAAAGGGUCAUUGGAAGGUGGCUUUUCUCUUCGGAGAAAGUGUUUAUAGCCUUUGAUCUCUGCAAUCGGAGAGACUGAGGUCUGCAGCGUAGAGCCUUCGGGGUUAGAUACAUUUGUGCUAAGCUACAGCCUUUCAUAGACAACUUGUUGACUAUGUUUAGUCUUGUGACUUACCCGCUUAUGCUAUUUUACCUACGCUUAGGAUGUUGAGCGCAUGUCUCUCUCUC